This 393-nucleotide ribosomal RNA is filed under the name uncultured bacterium. RNAcentral's name for it is "bacterial SSU rRNA". It matches the Rfam family "Bacterial small subunit ribosomal RNA", at positions 134 to 518 of the family's 1533-position model. The record is from RNAcentral.
CAGAGGGGAACUAACCCGGACGAAAGUCGGACUAAUACCGCAUAAACAGGGCACCGCAUGGUGAUAUUUGUUAAAGAAAUUCGCUGAUAGAUGGGCAUGCGUUCCGAUUAGGUAGUUGGUGAGGUAACGGCUCACCGAAGCCGACGAGUGGACUAGGGGAACUGAGAGGUUGGUCCCCCACACUGGUACUGAGACACGGACCAGACUCCUACGGGAGGCAGCAGUGAGGAAUAUUGGUCAAUGGGCGAGAGCCUGAACCAGCCAAGUCGCGUUGAAGGAAGAAGGAUCUAUUGGUUCGUAAACUUCUUUUGCAGGGGAAUAAAGUGCGGGACGUGUCCUUGUUUUGUAUGUACCCUGAGAAUAAGGAUCGGCUAACUCCGUGCCAGCCGCAGC